This 448-nucleotide ribosomal RNA is filed under the name uncultured bacterium. Its description in RNAcentral is "partial 16S ribosomal RNA". It matches the Rfam family "Bacterial small subunit ribosomal RNA", at positions 355 to 816 of the family's 1533-position model. The record is from RNAcentral.
UGGGGAAUAUUGCACAACGGGCGGAAGCCUGAUGCAGCAACGCCGCGUGCGGGAUGACGGCCUUCGGGUUGUAAACCGCUUUCGCCUGUGACGAAGCGUGAGUGACGGUAAUGGGUAAAGAAGCACCGGCUAACUACGUGCCAGCAGCCGCGGUGAUACGUAGGGUGCGAGCGUUGUCCGGAUUUAUUGGGCGUAAAGGGCUCGUAGGUGGUUGAUCGCGUCGGAAGUGUAAUCUUGGGGCUUAACUCUGAGCGUGCUUUCGAUACGGGUUGACUUGAGGAAGGUAGGGGAGAAUGGAAUUCCUGGUGAGCGGUGGAAUGCGCAGAUAUCAGGAGGAACACCAGUGGCGAAGGCGGUUCUCUGGGCCUUUCCUGACGCUGAGGAGCGAAAGCGUGGGGAGCGAACAGGCUUAGAUACCCUGGUAGUCCACGCUGUAAACGGUGGGUAC